GACGGAGGAUGCAAGCGUUAUCCGGAAUCAUUGGGCGUAAAGCGUACGGAGGCGGCUUAUCAAGUCUGGGGUCGAAGACCACAGCUUAACUGUGGAAAGGCCGUGGAAACUAGUGAGCUGGAGUGAGGUAGGGGUUGCGGGAAUUCACGGUGUAGCGGUGAAAUGCGUAGAUAUCGGGAAGAACACCUGAGGCGAAAGCGCGCGACUGGGCCUUAACUGACGCUGAGGUACGAAAGCUAGGGGAGCGAAUGGG
This 253-nucleotide ribosomal RNA is filed under the name uncultured bacterium. Its description in RNAcentral is "partial 16S ribosomal RNA". It matches the Rfam family "Bacterial small subunit ribosomal RNA", at positions 524 to 776 of the family's 1533-position model. The record is from RNAcentral.